Molecule: long non-coding RNA, 219 nt
Filed under: Lathyrus oleraceus (garden pea)
Lineage: Eukaryota; Viridiplantae; Streptophyta; Magnoliopsida; Fabales; Fabaceae
Description: Pisum sativum (pea) long non-coding RNA (PSAT_LNC031375)
Source: RNAcentral
UUGAUUUCAUGAGAAAUGUAUUUCGCCCUGGGAUUGAUGUUGUAAAUUCUUCUUCCUCCAUCUUUCUCCAUGUUUAGAAGAGCAGUGAUGGACUUCUCAGUUAUCACCAUCUUUACUCCCAAAACAUAGGAAACGAUGAAGUGAUCGUCAGCAUCAGCAAAUCUCCAGAAUUCUUUAAUGAGAUUUGGGUAAACUGGACCGUAGAGGCGUUGAAAGUAG